AACGAACGCUGGCGGCAGGCCUAACACAUGCAAGUCGAGCGAGACCUUCGGGUUUAGCGGCGGACGGGGUGAGUAACGCGUGGGAAUAUGCCCUUCGGUUCGGAAUAGCCCCGGGAACUGGGAGUAAUACCGGAUACGGUCUACGGACGAAAGAUUUAUCGCCGAAGGAUUAGCCCGCGUUGGAUUAGGUAGUUGGGUGGGGUAGUGGCCUACCAAGCCUACGAUCCAUAGCUGGUUUGAGAGGAUGAUCAGCAACACUGGGACUGAGACACGGCCCAGACUCCUACGGGAGGCAGCAGUGGGGAAUAUUGGACAAUGGGCGCAAGCCUGAUCCAGCCAUGCCGCGUGUGUGAAGAAGGCCUCGGUUGU
RNAcentral lists this ribosomal RNA (369 nucleotides) under uncultured bacterium. RNAcentral's name for it is "bacterial SSU rRNA". It matches the Rfam family "Bacterial small subunit ribosomal RNA", at positions 29 to 426 of the family's 1533-position model. The record is from RNAcentral.